CAACCAAGGAUGCCCCGGAGGAUUCUACGGAGGCAUCACCCAUGAUCAGUUGGUCGGAGUCGCUCCUCGCGACUAAGACAGCUCCAUCUCCCCCACAGCUACAACUCACUCACACAUUUCGGUUUCUAUAUACAUUUAAUUAUCCACACCUUUACGACCAAACUUGGCCACCGUCUACAUAUUUACGCGGUCAAAGCAGAAGAUUACCUUCCUUUGGCAAAGGCUACAGGCGCCGCGUAAAUAAUGUUCCACCAGACACGUAUUGGUGGAACUCACAGUGGAACGAGGCGCAAAAAAGGGCACACACUAGGUAUGUGUCGGGUCACCUAAUCCUGAGGAGCUCCUAGGGAAAAGAAGGGACAGGCCAAACGGCAACAACGAGGACA
Drosophila rhopaloa is the source of this 386-nucleotide long non-coding RNA. RefSeq lists it as uncharacterized. The record is from RefSeq and is a predicted model, not a curated record. Lineage: Eukaryota; Metazoa; Arthropoda; Insecta; Diptera; Drosophilidae. The transcript is spliced from 3 exons.